UGGCUCAGAGGUUAAAGCGUCUGCCUCCAAUGCGGGAGACCCAGGUUCAAUCCCUGG
Molecule: transfer RNA, 57 nt
Organism: Ovis aries (sheep)
Lineage: Eukaryota; Metazoa; Chordata; Mammalia; Artiodactyla; Bovidae
Rfam family: tRNA
About the family: Transfer RNA (tRNA) molecules are approximately 80 nucleotides in length. Their secondary structure includes four short double-helical elements and three loops (D, anti-codon, and T loops).
Source: Rfam